RNAcentral lists this non-coding RNA (500 nucleotides) under Pan troglodytes (chimpanzee). Lineage: Eukaryota; Metazoa; Chordata; Mammalia; Primates; Hominidae. The record is from RNAcentral.
UAUUCUUCCUUGGUAAAGUCACUUGACUGCUGACAGUCUGUUUCCUGGACUAUAAAAUGAAGAUGCUAUGAAUACUGCUGAAGUGACUAACUGAUGACGUAUCAAUGUCAAACAUAAGUAUCGGUGAAAGAACUAUUUUGAAAUAAACAUCCUGGUUAAUCACUAAGGUCUAAGGAGGAAAACUGAAGACGAAGUUCAACAGACCCGUCACUAGUGGAGCCUGGCUUUCUCCUUGGAGAAAGCAGUAACCAGACUCUACCUAUUACAAUGAGAAGCUGCACUCAGGAUAAUUAUGGCUCUGUAAACCAUCAGCAUUCAGCAGGCAGUAAUUGAAAUUUCACAGGCUCAUUAGCAGGUGGGAGAGGUACUGUGGCUGAGAGCUGCCAGCUGAGUAGACUGUACAGUAUUGCAAUUUGUCAUACGGCACUGUACUGCUACUAUGUUAAAAGGAAAGCAGGAAAAUAAAAGGUACUUUUUCUUAUACAAAAUGAAACACAGAA